AAAAUUGGUUAUUAUUCACGAUCACUCAUAUGAUAAAAAGUACUAAAUUAAUGAGGUUAUAGGUGGCGCGUAUCGCAGGUAUUAACAUCCCGGCA
RNAcentral lists this small RNA (95 nucleotides) under Candidatus Jidaibacter acanthamoebae. RNAcentral describes it as "Candidatus Jidaibacter acanthamoeba Alpha_RBS". Lineage: Bacteria; Pseudomonadati; Pseudomonadota; Alphaproteobacteria; Rickettsiales; Candidatus Midichloriaceae. The record is from RNAcentral.